Molecule: transfer RNA, 90 nt
Filed under: Paracraurococcus sp.
Lineage: Bacteria; Pseudomonadati; Pseudomonadota; Alphaproteobacteria; Acetobacterales; Roseomonadaceae
Also listed under: 2 other names
Description: tRNA-Ser
Rfam family: tRNA
About the family: Transfer RNA (tRNA) molecules are approximately 80 nucleotides in length.
Source: RNAcentral
GGAUGGGUGGCCGAGUGGUUUAAGGCAGCGGUCUUGAAAACCGCCGCAGGUGCAAGCCUGCCGUGGGUUCGAAUCCCACCCCAUCCGCCA